CAGAAAAAAGCAUUUUAAUGUAUCUCAUUUACGUUGAGUGGAAGGUUCAAAUUAACCUUUUUUGA
This 65-nucleotide transfer RNA is filed under the name Gononemertes parasita. RNAcentral's name for it is "tRNA-Val". The record is from RNAcentral. Lineage: Eukaryota; Metazoa; Nemertea; Enopla; Monostilifera; Prosorhochmidae.